CUACGGGUCGCACCAGUGAGGAAUAUUGCACAAUGGAGGAAACUCUGAUGCAGCAACGCCUCGUGGAGGAUGACGCAUUUCGGUGUGUAAACUCCUUUUAUAUGUCAAGAAAAUGACGGUAGCAUAUGAAUAAGCACCGGCUAACUCCGUGCCAGCAGCCGCGGUAAUACGGAGGGUGCAAGCGUUACUCGGAAUCACUGGGCGUAAAGGACGCGUAGGCGGGAUAUCAAGUCAGGUGUGAAAUCCUACAGCUUAACUGUAGAACUGCACUUGAAACUGGUAACCUAGAGUAUGGGAGGGGGAGAUGGAAUUAGUGGUGUAGGGGUAAAAUCCGUAGAUAUCACUAGGAAUACCUAAAGCGAAGGCGAUCUCCUGGAACAUAACUGACGCUAAGGCGUGAAAGCGUGGGGAGCAAACAGGAUUAGAUACCCUAGUAGUC
Molecule: ribosomal RNA, 439 nt
Filed under: uncultured bacterium
Lineage: Bacteria
Description: partial 16S ribosomal RNA
Rfam family: Bacterial small subunit ribosomal RNA
Source: RNAcentral